This 88-nucleotide transfer RNA is filed under the name Candidatus Bathyarchaeota archaeon. RNAcentral describes it as "tRNA-Leu". It matches the Rfam family "tRNA". Rfam says of the family: Transfer RNA (tRNA) molecules are approximately 80 nucleotides in length. Their secondary structure includes four short double-helical elements and three loops (D, anti-codon, and T loops). Further hydrogen bonds mediate the characteristic L-shaped molecular structure. tRNAs have two regions of fundamental functional importance: the anti-codon, which is responsible for specific mRNA codon recognition, and the 3' end, to which the tRNAs corresponding amino acid is attached (by aminoacyl-tRNA synthetases). tRNAs cope with the degeneracy of the genetic code in two manners: having more than one tRNA (with a specific anti-codon) for a particular amino acid; and 'wobble' base-pairing, i.e. permitting non-standard base-pairing at the 3rd anti-codon position. RNAcentral also lists the same sequence under 1 other name. The record is from RNAcentral. Lineage: Archaea; Thermoproteati; Candidatus Bathyarchaeota.
GCGGAGGUCGCCCAGCUAGGUCAAAGGCGUAGGACUGAGGCUCCUAUCCCGAAGGGGUUCGUGGGUUCGAAUCCCACCCUCCGCACCA